RNAcentral lists this transfer RNA (72 nucleotides) under Polyangiaceae bacterium. RNAcentral's name for it is "tRNA-Gln". It matches the Rfam family "tRNA". Rfam says of the family: Transfer RNA (tRNA) molecules are approximately 80 nucleotides in length. The record is from RNAcentral. Lineage: Bacteria; Pseudomonadati; Myxococcota; Polyangiales; Polyangiaceae.
ACGGGAGUAGUCGAGCAGUCAAGACACGCGGCUUUGACCCGCGAAGCGAAGGUGCGAGUCCUUCCUCCCGUA